UACGUAGGGCGCAAGCGUUGUCCGGAAUUAUUGGGCGUAAAGAGCUCGUAGGCGGUCUGUCGCGUCCGUUGUGAAAACUCGAGGCUCAACCGCGGGCCUGCAGCCGAUACGGGCAGGCUAGAGUUCGGUAGGGGAGACUGGAAUUCCUGGUGUAGCGGUGAAAUGCGCAGAUAUCAGGAGGAACACCGAUGGCGAAGGCAGGUCUCUGGGCCGAUACUGACGUGAGGAGCGAAAGCGUGGGGAGCGAACAGG
RNAcentral lists this ribosomal RNA (252 nucleotides) under uncultured bacterium. RNAcentral's name for it is "partial 16S ribosomal RNA". It matches the Rfam family "Bacterial small subunit ribosomal RNA", at positions 524 to 776 of the family's 1533-position model. The record is from RNAcentral.